Molecule: ribosomal RNA, 497 nt
Filed under: uncultured bacterium
Lineage: Bacteria
Description: partial 16S ribosomal RNA
Rfam family: Bacterial small subunit ribosomal RNA
Source: RNAcentral
GACGAACGCUGGCGGCGUGCCUAAUACAUGCAAGUUGAGCGAUGAAGAUUGGUGCUUGCACCAAUUUGAAGAGCAGCGAACGGGUGAGUAACGCGUGGGGAAUCUGCCUUUGAGCGGGGGACAACAUUUGGAAACGAAUGCUAGUACCGCAUAAUAACUUUAAACAUAAGUUUUAAGUUUGAAAGAUGCAAUUGCAUCACUCAAAGAUGAUCCCGCGUUGUAUUAGCUAGUUGGUGAGGUAAAGGCUCACCAAGGCGAUGAUACAUAGCCGACCUGAGAGGGUGAUCGGCCACAUUGGGACUGAGACACGGCCCAAACUCCUACGGGAGGCAGCAGUAGGGAAUCUUCGGCAAUGGACGAAAGUCUGACCGAGCAACGCCGCGUGAGUGAAGAAGGUUUUCGGAUCGUAAAACUCUGUUGGUAGAGAAGAACGUUGGUGAGAGUGGAAAGCUCAUCAAGUGACGGUAACUACCCAGAAAGGGACGGCUAACUACGUG